This 9832-nucleotide long non-coding RNA is filed under the name Lynx pardinus (Iberian lynx). The record is from RNAcentral. Lineage: Eukaryota; Metazoa; Chordata; Mammalia; Carnivora; Felidae.
AAAUCCUUUUAAUUUAUCCAUAUUUAAUACACCAGAAACCAAUAGCAGUGGCUGCCUCAGUGGAAGAAAACGGUGUAGUUAUGGAGCAGGAGUGAGAGGGAGACUAACUCUGCGCCAUUUGCAUCUUUUGAACUUGGAAUCACGUGAGUGUAUCAUCUGCUCAAAUGGGUUGAUUAAAUUUAAAAAAAAUAGACAAUAAGCAUGCAUGAGUUAUUUAACCAGCAGCCAUCCCCGGUUCACAGAUGACGGAAGGGAGGCUCACAGAGGGGGAGGGAGCUCCCCGGGGUCACUCAGCCGGAAGACAGGUCCAAGCUUCGGUGCUGUCCGGUGGUAGCCAUCCCUGAGUGUGCUUGGAGAUUUGAGUCUUCUAAUUACUGCUUCCCUACGGAUUAUCACCAUCUGAUAGAUGCAGAAACUGAACACACUCAAGUUCAGAACCCCUCGCCUCACCCCAAAUCGCCUAGAGUCCUGGCUCUGGGCUUCCCACCUGGCACCCUCCCCCACCGCCCCAUCAGGCAGGUAGGCAUAGUCUCCACAACAGUCGGUUAAGGCAAAGAUCCUGUAGAUUGCCCCUAGGAGACCCAGAGAGGGCGAUCACUUACCCCAAGACCCUCAGCCAACUGUAUGUCUCCCAGAGGACUAGAACCCAAGGAAGAGUCCAGAACCUCAGGCUGGGAGAAGGAAGCAGUCUCCCAGAGGCAAGAAGCAGCAUCUGGAAUAGUUUAAGCCUUUGGAGCAGGCGUGCAGUCAUUAGUCGAGCUUUGGCAUGUUUGGGGGCAAUAACUGCAUAUUUUCUCCAGGAUGCAUUGUGAACCGCCUUUGCUCAGAAUGUAAUGAGUAUGUUUCCUAGGAGGGGGGGAUGUUUGCGCUCCUCCCUGGCCCGCCUGGGCUGCUCUCCUGCCGUCUGCUUGGCGUUAGGCUCCCUGCCUUCCUAUUUUUAGGUGGAUCCAACAACAGCCUAGCAUGGGCCGCUGGAUGCAGCUGCGAGCAUGGCUGUCCUGGCGGGACCAACGUCCAGUGCGGCAGCCUACUGGAGAAAGGAUCAUUUGCUCCAGUGCUUUACUGUGGUCAAGAGUCACUUCUUCUCAUCCCUGUUCAAAGACUCCACCCCGGGGACUUUCCAAGCUUCAAAAAUGGAGGCUUAGUUAUUGUUUUUUCCCCCAGAAGUUGCAUGGGUGGAAAAUACAAAUCCAUUCAUCGCUUGUGUCCCUUCCCUCCAGCCCCAGGCUGCUGCUUUCCCUCAUUCCCCUUUGGGCCCUUACAGAGUUAGCUUCUUCUGCCUGGAAUGCCCUUCCUCCUCUCUCUGGAAUGCCCUUCCUCCCACCCCCAUCUGGAAAACUCAGCUCAUGCCACCUCCUCCAGGAAGCAUUCCAAAUGGACCUGUGACUCCUUCUCUGACUUCCCCACAAUGCCCAUGCUUCCCUCCAUCACAGCCGUUACCAUACUCAGUACUGAAUGCUUGCUCAGCUCCCCCUAAUUCUGUGAGUCUGGGGAACUGGCGGUGUGAAUUAUUCCUCUAGAGUGACUCUUAGCAUCCAACAUGGGGCCAGGGACAGAACAGUUGCAGCACGGAUGCUGACUGACUGACAUUACAGAUGCUGACUGACUGACAUUACAUUACAUUACAGAUAAGUAAUGGAUGAAAUGAAGGAAUUGAUGAAUGCAGUGGUAGAACAUCCCAGAUGAAGAGGCGGGCUGUGGCCCCAGCAUCUUAUAGGUAAGGCUUCUGAGGCUUGGACAGGGAGGGAGAUAUAUUAUCAGGGGUCGUUGCUUGCAAGUAACAGAAUACCAACUGAAACCAACUUUAGAUAAAUGAGGAGCAUGUACCCUCUCAUAAAUUAUGGUAAGGGUGAAACAGGAUUUUGAGAUGUUCGGAACCGAGAACUCAAACAUCCUCUUCAUACUGGCUUCCGUUUCGCAGACCACUUUCUCCAUGAGUUUGGGGGCCUGGCUGUUGGCAGCUUUAUGGUCCCGUCCUUAGAGUUUUGCAAAUGGGGACAGAAGAGCUGCAGUUGGAAAAGAGAGCCCCAGAGAAGCAUUCCAAGGGAUCUGAUUUGGGACGUGCUGUCCCCUUGACAAAUCACUGUUGGAGGGUGGCAGCUCCCAGCUAGAGAAGAAACAAUUCUCCCAAACACAUGGGGUAUCAUGGCCAGGACCACCAGGGGAAAUCACUGUGAGCUUGGAGGCCACCCCAAUUUAUAUCUACUAGAGGCACUAGCAUUUCUGGAGCAUCUCAGUACCAGCCUAUGUUAGAUAAUCUCAUGCGUACUGUCUUCCAAUUACUCUGUGAGAUGGAUAUUGUUGCUGCUGUUUUGCUCCCAGAUGAAAAAGCAGAGGUUCGGAGAAAGUAAGUAAUUGGCCCAAAGUCCCAGAGACUUAAGGAGCCCAACAGAACACUUAGCCCCACCCUUCCCCAUGCACAGUGAAAACUACAGCCCAAGAAGGGAAGGACUUGCCUCAAGUCACAAAGGAGGUCAAUAGAAUAGUCUGGAAUAGGAACUCACAAGCAUUUAGUCACAUUACAUUACAGAUAAGUAAUAGACAUCUUUGGGGUAUUUUCCCUGCUCAUGACAAUUUUCCUUCUCUCAGAACAGCCCAGGGCCUGAUGACUAUGGGGAAUGACUCCCAAAGGAGUAGCCUGGCAGCUACUGUGUGACCCCAUUCCCUUUCCCAAAGCCAACUGGGCCAGUGUGGGACACCUGCUUCAUUUGGGCCAAUCACCUUCUCUUGGGAAUUUGGAGAUUCUUUUCACAUGGCUGGACCUGUCAGGUGCUGUGAGCAGUCACGUUGCCGCCCCCACCCAUCCGAUAGAAGGCAGAGAAGGCCAGUCUGGGAAGAGAACAGAACAGAGGCAGAGACAGAAGCAGGGAGAUGCCACCCCCUGGAUUGCUGAGCCAGGUCAAGUCCUUUCCUGUAUCAGGUUGCUUGAGAUUCCAAGUUCCUUGCAAUCAAUUCCCCAUCCUAGAGUCAAGUGGAUUUCUUGUUGUAAAAAUAGCAUCCUAAUAUAGCAUGUGGCAAAGCGUUUACUGGAAAGGGGGUCAUUGCAUGAAGCUGCAGGGUUACCUCAGUCAUUUUAAGUGGUCUGACGAGGAGGCCACUGUGGGCUGGAGUGGUCAGAGGGUGUCCCUGGAGCAAGCAGGACUCCUCUGUCCUUGAAGGAUGAGAGUCGUGUAAGCAGGGAGAGAAGAGGUGGAGUGCUUCCCAGGGGGCACUCGAGGUGAUAAAAGGGAGGCUGAUUUGAAGGAAUUGAGUGUGUGGCCAAGCAGGGAGGUGAAGUAGUAAACAAGAAAGAUGGUGGUCUUCUGCUCCCCAGGAACCAUCCAAAGCCAUCCAAGGUACUACUAGACAGGUGGAGAGAGGGAUUGGGAAGCAUUAAGCACUUCUAAGGGCUGGUUACAAACCAAAUCAUUGCAGUGAAAGCAAUUCUACCCCCCACCCUGGGCUCUAUCUAGCAUGACAUCAGUCAGUUCACCAUUUCCUGCCCUGCCCCUCACUCUCCCACCUCUGUGCCUCCAUUUCUGUAGGUAUAGUAGCCGAGAAGCCCUUUAUCAAACCUCAGUGCACCUCCAAGUCCUCCUUAUCCAAAGAGCUUGUCCUGUCACCAUCCCCAAACCCCCAAAGUGAAAUCCAGGCUCUCUUUCUAUGGGUUCUCACUUGGACCCUCUACUGUGUAGUUUCUAUUAUACUGAUCUGUGCAAGUAUCUGCUGUCCCUACUAGAACAUGAACCCUGAGGCCAGGAACUCAGAUCGGAUUCAUUGCUUCUCUGUUGCCCAAUGCUGGGGCUGGCUCACAAUGGGAAGAAUUUGCUAAACACCUCUACAUAUCCACUGUCCAUACUAAGCACAGGAAGAAGUGAUGUGUUUGCUGCCUCCUUACCAGCCUCCCUCCCCCACUUACUAAUCAGGAGGGAGAGCAGAGUUUGAGGGGGUAGAGAGUCUGUCCUCACACAGGGAGCUGAGGAGUUGGGAGCUGUGUAUGGAUAGCACUGUACUGCACAGGUAUGUGCGUGCACGGGUAUGUGCGUGCACAGGUAUGUGCGUGCGCAGGUAUGUGCCGGGAGCUCUCUAGGUUGUGAGUCGAGGAGGGCUCCCCCAAGAGCAAAGCAGCUGGCAGCUUUACAGGCCCAGCUGUGUCAGCCACCCCUGACCCCUACUCUUCAUUCUAGUCACAUGGUCCUCUGGGCCAACAGGCAUCAGGCCCGGAGGCUGAUGGGCUAUAUAGUCAAUAGCUCCAAAGCCAACCCAGUUUGGCCUGGAGCCCAGGAGGGCCUGGGGCACAGUAGAGAUCAGUCAAAUCUUCUGUCAAAUGAUGCUCCGCAAAGAUCUGGCUGAUCUCUGUUAAUCUGUAGUUUUACAUCCAGGCUGAUACACCCCAAGGCUCACGAGGGGCCGGGAGCGAGAUUGGCAGGGCAGAUGAAGAGACUGGCUGUUAAAGGCUUGGCAAAGAGGAAAGGAGCAGGACGUAAGCGAGCACUCUGUACCUGCAGGUUCCGGCUCUGACACAUAUUUCAUCUGUUCCUCGCGACAAGCCUGGGAGCUAUUACCCCUUCUCCGUGGCAAGUAUCCAGGCACUGAAGCUGCUUGCCCCAGGGUGAAGGGCUGGGGCACGGCCCAGGGGGGGACAUGAACUCAGCUGGCAGAUGCCACCCUGUCAUCAUGGAGUCCCAUUGCUGUUAGAGAGUGUAGAAGCAGCACCCUUUCUUCCCAAAGCUUCAUGGCCUUAAACCCUCAGCCCCCUUCGCGUUCGACUCUCUCGCAAACGGCUCUCCAGAUGUCCAUAGCCUGGCCCCGCUGGACCACAGUCAGAUUACCCUCGUCACAGCUGCCCCUUUCUUUCUAGCAUCUAGUCCUGUGGGUGACGGUGUUCCUGAUGUCUGCCUCUGCCAUUGGGCUAUAAGUUUCACGAGGGGAGGGGCUUUCUCUUUGUCACCGCUCUAUCCCCAUUUGUUACUCACUCAACAAGAAUCUAUUGAGCACCAUUCUGUGACAGCCAUUGUACUAGGUGUUUGGGAUUCAAUAGUGAAAAAAAAAAAGAUAAAGUUCCCUGCCUUUUGGAACUUCCCUCCAAGCAUAGACAAUCAGCAAAUCUUAUAGUGUAUUACGUCUUAGAAGGUAUUAAGCAUGAUGGACAGAAAUAAAAUAGCGGGGGUAAUAGAAAGAGUAGGGGUGCAAUUUUAUGCAGGGAGGGGAGGAAGGGCCUGGAAGGAGGUAAGGACAGAGCCCUUUGAAUAUAUGAGGGAAGGGCAUUCCGGACAGUGGUAACAGCAAGUUACCAAAGUGCUGAGGUGCGGUCGGGUGGGGUCCCUGGCAUUUUCCAGGAACAACAGCAAGGCUGGAGCAAAGUGUCUAAGGGCAGGGCAUGAGAGCAGUGCAGAUACCAUAAAGUCUUCCCCUUCCCUUUGAGUUGGGAAGCCACUGGAGAGUGACAGACAAGUCAGUUGAUCUGACUUAGGUUUUAAAAGGACAACUGUGGCGGCGCCUGGGUGGCUCAGUCGAUUAAGCAUCCGACUCUUGAUUACAUCUCAGGUCAUGAUCUUGUGGUUUGUGAGUUCAGGCCCUACAUUGGGCUCUUUGCUGACAGUGGGGAGCCUGCCUGGGAUUCUCUCUCUCUCUUGCCCUCCCUCUAAAAAUAAAUAAAUAAACAUUAAAAAAUAUAUUUAAAAGGACCACUCUGGCUACCUUGGGAAGAACUGAUAGUUUCAAGGCCCCUCAGGGAUCAAAUAGGUAUUUUUGAUUGAGCAAAGAGUGAGAAGGAAGAAAGAAAGAAUUGCUAUCAAAGGAAGAAGCUGGAGAGGCAAACCCAGAGGACGCUUCUAACCUUGACGCUCAGUGCUUCUGAGCCCAGUUAUAAAAACGUGAAAGGGAACAAAUACCACUUAGCAGAGUGUGAACCUUCCUUCUGGCAGGGUAUCUUAGUAAAUGUCCCAGGAGGUCAUAAGAAUGCCUUGUCACGGGAGAUAUGCAAGUCGGGCCCGGUGGCCUCAGGAGAACUAGAAGCUGUGGCUUUCAUGGGUGAGGGACAGCCUAUGUGUCCCUCGGCUCCUGUCCUCUAGCUCUAGCUGCAAGUGGGUGCAGCAAGGGUCCUGUCUCCUCCUCCAGGACCUUCAUCUGACCCUCGGGGCUGUCGAGCCUUCCGGGUACAUGUGGUUCCUGCCUUGGGUGGUACAAGUGACAGCUGAGGCUGCAGGAGACACUGGCAGCAGAGCGUUUGGAGUGAUGUUUGGCUGGGACCAGGAGGCUGUCCAGAGUGGCAGGCUCUCUAUGGGCAGAGUCCUGGAUUCCCAGCGAGCUGAGGCCAAAGCAGGCCAGGAAUUCCUUGCCUUAAUUUUUGCCUCUAAUUCCUCCCAGAAAUGAGGCGUGUCAGUCUUUAAAUUCUCGGGUUUUUAUGAGGCGAUUAUGGUGAUUACUAUAAAUCUCCCGUGUGUUGUUUUCAAAGGGGCAAUUAAGUGGAGGAACCAGGCACCAUUUUCGUUUCUCAUUAAGUGAUUAGGGUUUGUUUGGCAAAUCCCAACAUCUGUGGCCAGAGGCAGGCUCUGCUGAGCUUGGCUUGGGCAGCGCGUUAGCCUCCACACGUGUGAAGCAUCCAACACUUCCCUUCUGGCCUGGCUUCUUCUCCUAGUCGGAAGGAGUUGGAGGGAAACCUUGCAGUGUAUAGAUGAGGAAACUGAGGCACAGAAUGGGGAACCAACCCACCAAUCCUGCACCACUAGCAAGCAGUAGAGCCAGGUUCUGCCUUCCAGAGUAAAACUCUAGCCAUUACACCAGGCUUUCCAUCUGAAGAAAGCGUUUUUAGUAAACCUGUUCCCACUGGCAGCUUUGCUUGCUCCUAGGAGGAGCAGUGAAGGCUCCUUCUUUAGCACGGGCUCACUUUUUCCACCUGACUCUUCUUUCUCCUUGAACAACCACCAGUGUCAACAAGUAUGGCAGACACUGUUGGUGUCCACCCAACAGUCAUUCCCAGCCUCCUUUUCCUUCACCUACCUCCCACUAACGAGGCUCUGCAAAACCUCUCUAGUGGUUAGGAGAGACUACAUGACCCAGUUCUGGCUGAUGGGAUAAGUGGGGGAUUUUGCUGGGGGACUUCUGGUAGAUUUUCUUAUGCCUUCGAGUCACUUAAGAAGAAUGCCUUUGCUCCAUACUUACUCCCUCACUUCUGCUUUUAGCUGUGAGUGUUUGUAGCAAUGUGUGGAGCUGAGGCAACCAUCUUGUAACUUGAGGCAACAAACUAGAAGAAGAAAACUAACUGCUCCAGUCAUCUACUGCUGCAUAACAAAUCACCCCAAAAUUCAGUAUCUUAAAGGAUCAAUCCAUUAUUAUCUUUCACCAUUUUAUAUGUUGACUGGACUCAACUAGAUGGCUCUUACUUGAGGUCUCUUAUGUGGUUGCAGUCUGAUAGAGGUGGGGGUUGGAUGUCCUGGUGGCUCACUCACAUAGCUGGCAGUUGAUGCUGGAUGUCCAGUGGGAGCUUAGCUAGGGCUGUUGACCAGGACACCUGCACAGAGAUUCUCCAUGUGGCUUGGGUGUCCCAUACCAUGGCUGUUGGUUUCUUUUUUAAAAAUUUUUUAAUGUUUAUUAUUUUUGAAAAAGAGAGAGAGAGCACGAGCAUGAGUAGGGGAAGGGCAGGGAGAGAGGAAGACAGAGAAUCUGAAGCAGGCUCCAGGCUCUGAGCUGUCAGCACAGAGCCCAACAUAGGGUUCAAACUCACAGACCACAAGAUCAUGACUUGAGCUGAUGUCAAUGCUUAACUGACUGAGCCACCCAGGCGCCCCAGGCUGCUUGCUGGUUUCUGAGGGCAAGUGUUCAAGCACUAAUCAUUUUAAGAGGCUCAGACAGAUGCUGCAAGGCUUAUGAUGUAACCUUGAAAGUUCAAAAUGUUAUUUCCACCAUGUUCUAUUGGUUAAGCAAAUUUUUUUAAAUAAUUUUUUUAAUGUUUAUUCAUUUUUGAGAGACAGAGCAUGAGCUGGGGAGGGGCAGAGAGAGAGGGAGACACAGAAUCUGAAGCGGGCUCCAGGCUCUGAGCUGUCAGCACACAGCCCGAUGCAGGGCUCGAACCCAUGAACCGUGGGAUCAUGACCUGAGCCAAAUUCGGAUGCUCAACCAACUGAGCCACCCAGGUGCCCCAGGUUAAGCGCAUUAUUAAGGCCAGCUUAGAUUCAAGGGAGAAGAGAACUAGACUCUAUCUCUAGGUGAGCGAAUGACAAGGUGACAUUGCAGAAAAGCAGGCAGUAUGGGAGAUACUGCUCUGUCCAUCUUUGGAAAAUGCAGUCUACCAUCCCCACACCCUGAAGACCAUGAUGUGGUUAGCUGGAAAGAGUUAUGGUACUUGUUACCUAUAAGCCACUGUGCCAGCCCAGUACCGUUUCUGUACUUCUCAAGUAAACAAAUAAUGUCCUAAAAGUUUAAGCCAUCGUGAGCUGGAUUUUCUGUCCAAAUGUGGAGCAGGAGGCAAACAUGACCAGGGAAGACUUCCUAAGAGAAGAUGGACUUAAACUGGAUAUUUUAAGACCAUCUCAAGUUCUUACUCUUUGGCAUCAGACACUCUUAGGUUUGAGUUCUAUUUCUGCAAUUACUACUAGCUGUGUGAGUCUGAGCAAGUUAACCUCUCCGAGCUUCAACUUCCUCAUCUGUAAAAUAGGAAUAAUAACAUUUGCCUCUAAGGCCAUUCUGAGAACUCAAUGAUAUGAUACAUAGUAAGAGCUUAGCAUGAGACCACAGAAUAAGUGGUCUUUAAUCAUGACUACUUUAUCAAAUUAUUCAUUGAGAGGCAGAAAAGUAACCCACUUGGUUUUGUGUGGUUCCGAAUGUUGUUGCUGAGACCACUGAGGGGGAAGUAUCAGGAAAGCAUUUUCUGGCGGACAUGGCUGCCUCUGGCUGUGACCCUUCCAUGUCUGGGGGCAAAAGCAGAGCUGCGGGGCCCUGUGAGGGAGACCGAGGAGGGGCUUCUGGCCUGGGAGAAGCUGGACUGUCCUGUGCAGCUCAGUGAUGGGGAAGAGGUGGGAGUGGUCUGUAAUUUGGGAGCUGGUGAGAGGACACUAGCUGGGAUCCCCAAACAAUUGCUUACAGCGGUCUGUGAGGCCCCAAACCUUUCUCUAUGGAAGUCUGAGGUUGGGACAGGGAACAGUCCUCUGCAGGUAGGGUGACCAAUUUUAACUAGUUUGUCCAGGACUUUCUGGUUUUAGCACUGGACCUUUCACAUCCUGAGAGGCCCUUCAGUACAGGGCAAACCAGGAUGGCUGGUGGGAUCCUGUUUGCAGGGGAUCAUCUAGGUGGAAGCUUCUGGGACUCAGGGAGUCCUGUGUCCCAGUAUAAGGGAUAACAUCCUGGCUAAAUAGUCUGUCCCAUGGAGACCCAGGAUGCAGAGCCACCUCCAGGCAACCAGCCUUAUAGGUCAGGGACAGCAAUGGCCCUCAGUGACCACAAAGUGCACUUCCAGGUCUGGAGACAGAGGAUGUAGUGUGGAGUAGCAGCAACGUCUCUGCAGCCACAGUCAGCCUGUGUCAGCCCUUUGGGACUUUCACACUUGUGCUGUCAUCACCAGGGAGAAAUAUGAGAUCAUUUUAGGGGCUCAAGACCUAUAAAAACCGUGUGUAUGCCUGAGAUAUAGCUUUCCCAAACCAAGUUCUAGAACUGAAAUACCACCAUUCACUCUUCAUUUGUUAGGUGAGAACCAAUAAGAACUAUGUUCCCAGAAGCUCUCACCUGACACGCACACUCAGAGUAAAGAGGUCUACAGUCCUUCCCGGUGGAGGAAAGAGCCUGGAAAGGUGAAGAAGAGGUGUCUGAAGCUUGGAGAUGAAGGAGCGAGCACAGGAGUCCUCAAACACACCUCGAG